This 612-nucleotide transfer RNA is filed under the name uncultured Prochlorococcus sp. Its description in RNAcentral is "partial contains 16S ribosomal RNA, 16S-23S ribosomal RNA intergenic spacer, and 23S ribosomal RNA". The stretch from base 227 to 299 matches the Rfam family "tRNA". Lineage: Bacteria; Bacillati; Cyanobacteriota; Cyanophyceae; Synechococcales; Prochlorococcaceae. The record is from RNAcentral.
UGGAUCACCUCCUAACAGGGAGACAACAAAAUGUUUAAUAUUAUUAUUUUGUCACCUUAGGUCGAUCGGUAUCUCACGUUCUUAAUUUAUUAAGAAUUUCAUUUCCUAAGUUUUUCUAGGUCACACCCAUUAUUUUUCCUGGGCCAUUAGCUCAGGUGGUUAGAGCGCACCCCUGAUAAGGGUGAGGUCCCUGGUUCAAGUCCAGGAUGGCCCAUAUCUCUAUGUUGGGGGUAUAGCUCAGUUGGUAGAGCGCCUGCUUUGCAAGCAGGAUGUCAGCGGUUCGAGUCCGCUUACCUCCACUGAUUACCACCUCUUCCAUAAUUUGAAGAAAGGAAUUUUUUGAGUUGUGAUCAAAUUCUGAACGAAUCUAGCUUCCUAAUGAAUCCAUUAAGAUGCUGGACUCAUUGAAUUAAUUUUCAUUGUUUUCAGAGAACCUUGACAACUGCAUAGAUUAUUUUUAAAGACAAUAAGCAUCUUUAAUGAUGCAGAUUUAUUAUUUGUGCGAAUGCAUUAAUAACAAUUCUAUUAAGCUGAUGCUUCAAUUUAAUGAAGUUAUUGGUCAAGCUACAAAGGGCUCACGGAGGAUACCUAGGCACACAGAGGCGAUGAAGG